This 465-nucleotide ribosomal RNA is filed under the name Vreelandella stevensii. RNAcentral describes it as "partial 16S ribosomal RNA". It matches the Rfam family "Bacterial small subunit ribosomal RNA", at positions 338 to 795 of the family's 1533-position model. The record is from RNAcentral. Lineage: Bacteria; Pseudomonadati; Pseudomonadota; Gammaproteobacteria; Oceanospirillales; Halomonadaceae.
CCUACGGGUGGCUGCAGUGGGGAAUAUUGGACAAUGGGGGCAACCCUGAUCCAGCCAUGCCGCGUGUGUGAAGAAGGCCCUCGGGUUGUAAAGCACUUUCAGUGAGGAAGAACGCCUGGUGGUUAAUACCCAUCAGGAAAGACAUCACUCACAGAAGAAGCACCGGCUAACUCCGUGCCAGCAGCCGCGGUAAUACGGAGGGUGCGAGCGUUAAUCGGAAUUACUGGGCGUAAAGCGCGCGUAGGUGGCUUGAUAAGCCGGUUGUGAAAGCCCCGGGCUCAACCUGGGAACGGCAUCCGGAACUGUCAAGCUAGAGUGCAGGAGAGGAAGGUAGAAUUCCCGGUGUAGCGGUGAAAUGCGUAGAGAUCGGGAGGAAUACCAGUGGCGAAGGCGGCCUUCUGGACUGACACUGACACUGAGGUGCGAAAGCGUGGGUAGCAAACAGGAUUAGAUACCCCGGUAGUA